This 497-nucleotide ribosomal RNA is filed under the name uncultured bacterium. Its description in RNAcentral is "partial 16S ribosomal RNA". It matches the Rfam family "Bacterial small subunit ribosomal RNA", at positions 28 to 507 of the family's 1533-position model. The record is from RNAcentral.
GAUGAACGCUGGCGGCGUGCCUAAUACAUGCAAGUCGAGCGAACAGACGAGGAGCUUGCUCCUCUGACGUUAGCGGCGGACGGGUGAGUAACACGUGGAUAACCUACCUAUAAGACUGGGAUAACUUCGGGAAACCGGAGCUAAUACCGGAUAAUAUAUUGAACCGCAUGGUUCAAUAGUGAAAGACGGUUUUGCUGUCACUUAUAGAUGGAUCCGCGCCGCAUUAGCUAGUUGGUAAGGUAACGGCUUACCAAGGCGACGAUGCGUAGCCGACCUGAGAGGGUGAUCGGCCACACUGGAACUGAGACACGGUCCAGACUCCUACGGGAGGCAGCAGUAGGGAAUCUUCCGCAAUGGUCGAAAGCCUGACGGAGCAACGCCGCGUGAGUGAUGAAGGUCUUCGGAUCGUAAAACUCUGUUAUUAGGGAAGAACAAAUGUGUAAGUAACUAUGCACGUCUUGACGGUACCUAAUCAGAAAGCCACGGCUAACUACGUG